UACAGAGGAGCCAAGCGUUGUCCGGAUUGACUGGGCGUAAAGGGUGCGUAGGCGGCGCGGUAAGUCGGGUGUGAAAUCUCGGAGCUUAACUCCGAAACUGCAUUCGAUACUGCCGUGCUUGAGGACUGGAGAGGAGACUGGAAUUUACGGUGUAGCGGUGAAAUGCGUAGAUAUCAGGAGGAACACCGGUGGCGAAGGCGGGUCUCUGGGCCGAUACUGACGCUGAGGAGCGAAAGCGUGGGGAGCGAACAGG
RNAcentral lists this ribosomal RNA (253 nucleotides) under uncultured bacterium. RNAcentral describes it as "partial 16S ribosomal RNA". It matches the Rfam family "Bacterial small subunit ribosomal RNA", at positions 524 to 776 of the family's 1533-position model. The record is from RNAcentral.